AAGACAACAUAUAUAAUAACAGAGUGUAUAGAGAUAAAUGUCACAAUAUAAUCAGAGUACUUAUUACAUAGCGGAAGUCUUACAAAAUAAAGCUAAAUAUAGAUCGAACUAAAAUCCAUCCUUGGCGCCAGAAAGUCAACUGGGAGACGCCACCUAGAUCGAAUCGAACUCCUCGAUGUGUGGCUCCACUUGAACCACCUGUUCUUCUCCUGUGGGGGUGUAAGACAGCAAGGGUGAGCUAACACAUGUUCAUCGCUCAACAAGUUGUGGGGAAUAAUGUGGCAUGAACUCACCAAAGGUGGGAGUUCAUGUGAUGUGUGAAGCUGAUCAACAAUAGGGGUUAAACCUGAGCAUUGCUUUUUAAUAAGUUGGUCAAAAUUUUAUUAGCAGUUACUAAAUGUAAGUGAAUACCAAACCAUAAUAAAAAUAAUAUAACAAAAUUAAUAAAUAAUCCCAUGCAAAUGACAAAUUGGAUUUAAGUUCCAUAAAUUAAUCAUGCGAGAGUCCUGAGCUACUCAUGACAGUGAGCUUGGCUAGUAUACAAGUUUUACACUCUGUAGAGGUUAUACCCUGUACCCACAAGUCGUGUAUCCCAUGUCGUUAGGGUUUGCAAGGCCCUUAGACACUACCAAGGUGAAUGGCUAGGGAUCCACAACGAGGCCUUUACAAAGUUCCACUAGCUUCCGAAAACCUCCAUCGCAGAAAAUCAACGCGAGAACCUCCUUGCAUGCAACUCCCCUACUGCUCUUGCCUCUUUCGGGUAAGGUAGUCUUCCACUAGCUUUCCUAAUUAGUCAGCCAAGGGCGUCCCAUUCCACCCUUGUGGUGGCACGUGUUUCUCAAGAUAAGCUCCAUGUUCCAAUUAAAAUUAAUGAUCUUGACAUGAACAUAAAUAGAAUAACAAAAUAAUUGGAACAUGGAUAUAAUGAAAUAUUAUCCCAAAACCAUGUAAAGCAAUAGCAAAAAUAUCCAAGUGAUUCAGGGAUAACAAGGUAAAGUGAUAAACAGUCUAGGGUGACCUAUUGGGUCCCAUCAAAAUUAAACCUAUGCAUUGAAUAGUGAUAAUAAAGAAUAUUAUUGGGUAAUAAAAGUGGAUCAAGGGCACAACUUGCCUAGCACUUGAGAUUCCAGUUACCAGGGUGAUUCUUCGGAUCCUCGUGACCGCACUGCUAGUCGUAGCAAUACAAACAGACAUGGUAUAGACAAAAUUAACAUCACACCAAACAUAAGUACAAACUGAAUAAUAAUGAUCUACGCGUCGUAACGAGAUUGUGGGAUCGAGAACUAGUAAAAUCGGGGUCAUGGUUAUGAAGUUAUGAUUUUCUAAAGUAUUAUGUGAUUAAACAGGAAAACUCAAUCCUAGGUCGAUUAUACGUAAUAUAAAUCAUGUGAGAAAGAUAAUUGAAAUAAUUAACUAACUUACUCUUGAUCAGAUUAAACUUUAUUAGAAAACAUAUUUUAGCUCCCAUUAUAAUCAUAGACAUAGUAAUCUUUGGUUAGUAGGAUAAAUCUACUAAACAUAGGAUAAAUAAAUAUCUAAUUGUAAAAGUAUAUGAUAUGAUAUAAUUAGGGCUAACAUUGUGUAGGCAAUCUUAUUACGAAACUAACGCAACUGGAACAGGUCAAUUUGGGGUUAAAACAGAUAAGUUAUGAAUUUUCUGCCUUUUCUAGAAUUAUUCCUAUAUUAAAAACCGAUUUCCAUAUUUAUUUUGCAACUUGUGGACCACAGCCAUUAAUUUCAGGAAGCACAGGGUCUUUCACGUAAAUAUUUGGACCUGGUUGCAAUGAUCCGAACGCUGCCGAGGAUGGCGGGUUAAUUCAUGUGUUUGUGAGGGGGCCCUUAGAAAAAUGUAUCCACGAAGGGGUACAAUGUGAUCUGAGCCGCAGGAUCAGAGUUCUAUGGCUACGAUUAGAUCGACCAAUAACACUGAAUCGGUAUGCGACGGGGACCGUUCGAUACAGAUCAACGCACAUGAUUUAAAAACGCUGGGACCAGAUCUCCACCGUCGAUAACCCGAUCCACGAUCACGGUUUUAAUUCACGCGAUUGGCUCAACACCACACAUCUGUCGAUCGACGGUAGUGGCGAACCCGAGUCGAACCAAUGCUCGCCUAGACCCCAUUCACCUGAUCAAGAUCAAAUGGUCCCUGAUCGUCGCCCCUUCUAACCACACCGACUAUCAUCGCGCGGUGGCGCGCGACGGCCGACGGCCAUGCCACGCUAGCGAGCAUUGCCCCGCGGCCCAGGCGCUCUAAUUCUACGCUAAUAAGGGUAGGAGAUUGAGAAGAUCCACGCGAACACAGUAGAGGAUGACUUACCGGAGCUCAAGCAAUGCAAAUCCAUGUCCACGGUGACAGGCGGGCACGCGACGGUGACCAUGCUCCGACGAGCGAUUCAGCCAACGCCAACCGAUCACCACCGCUCACAAGGUCACGGCCGAGUCUAGAGCUGCAUGGCGAAUCUCCCUGGCCCCAUGCCAUGGUCCAGAGAUCGACACGCGUGCAUGCCCCAUGGCGACACAUCCCGCCUCACUCUCUCUCUCUCUCUCUCUCUCUCUCUCUCUCUCUCUCUCACCGGCGAGACUCACAGUUGGUCCUAGUGGCUAAGAAUGAACGGCGCGAGAUUCACGCAUUAGGAAGGAGGGGCGGAGGUUGAAGAUGGGUUGUCACAGGGCUAGGACGCUACAUGUAGGAGCAAGAAGAUCCGGGAUUGAGCCACGAACCCCCGAUCUCCCCGCGUCAGUCCGCAGUUGAGCCUGGCGGCUUUUAAGGACGUGCGAG
This 2779-nucleotide long non-coding RNA is filed under the name Zea mays. Its description in RNAcentral is "long non-coding RNA (ZMAY_LNC005009)". The record is from RNAcentral. Lineage: Eukaryota; Viridiplantae; Streptophyta; Magnoliopsida; Poales; Poaceae.